CCAAGAUGGCAGGCUCCCGAAGGUGUGUGCUGGCAUCGUCUGAGAACACGGCUGCCACUGAGUCUGUACAUCCAUUCCCCUCCAAACUGCCGCCCCCAGCCCCCCACAGAAUCAAUCUGACCAGACACGCCGCCCUCCGGUAUUCUCUGGCCUAGCACACCAUUUUUAUGAGGAACUUAGAAGGACACGGUCAGCGAUGGAAAGGAAACGAUAUCCAUGCUGGGGACUUUAUUUACUUCCGCACUAGCCACCCGAGCGCUAAGGGACAGCAGCAGGGCAAGGCUGGUGUAGACGUCAAUCCGAAAGAAUCACAACCACCAUCAGGAGACAGGAGGAGGGAUAGUCUCAUGGAUGCGGAGACAUGGUCUACGUCCCAGAGGAUAAAGAGGACUUCGCCGGGCAGAGAACAGCGGGGCUGAGGGAGGAACGACCUUCUAGGCAAAGGAAAGAAUCACAAGGUGGGGCUCAACUGGCUAAUGCUCUUGUGGCUUCUUCAGUCCUGUUCCUGGGAACUCUGCUUGUCCACACAGCUGUCCCCUCUGCCGAGGCCCCCACGGAUGGCUGUGGUCACCAUCCAUGGCUCAGCCCUGCUGACUGUC
Ailuropoda melanoleuca (giant panda) is the source of this 599-nucleotide long non-coding RNA. RefSeq lists it as uncharacterized. The transcript has 4 exons. NCBI's taxonomy places the organism in Eukaryota, Metazoa, Chordata, Mammalia, Carnivora, Ursidae. The record is from RefSeq and is a predicted model, not a curated record.